GACGAACGCUGGCGGCGUGCUUAACACAUGCAAGUCGAACGGAAAUGCCCUGCUUUUGUGCGGUGCUCGAGUGGCGAACGGGGGAGUAACACGUGAGUAACCUGCCCUUGACUUUGGGAUAACUUCAUGAAACUGGGGCUAAUACCGGAUAGGAGCUCCUGCUGCAUGGUGGGGGUUGGAAAGUUUCGGCGGUUGGGGAUGGACUCGCGGCUUAUCAGCUUGUUGGUGGGGUAGUGGCUUACCAAGGCAUUGACGGGUAGCCGGCCUGAGCGGGUGACCGGACAAACUGGGACUGAGAUACGGCCCAGACUCCUACGGUAGGCAGAGGAGGGGAAGGUUGCACAAUGGACGGGAGGCUGAUGCGGCAACGCCGCGUCCGGGAUGACGGCCUGGGGGUUGUAAACCGAUUCCGCCUGUGCCGAAGCGUGAGUGACGGUAAUGGGGAAAGAAGCCCCGGCUAACUACGUG
RNAcentral lists this ribosomal RNA (468 nucleotides) under uncultured bacterium. RNAcentral describes it as "partial 16S ribosomal RNA". It matches the Rfam family "Bacterial small subunit ribosomal RNA", at positions 28 to 507 of the family's 1533-position model. The record is from RNAcentral.